Long non-coding RNA from Macrosteles quadrilineatus (aster leafhopper), 271 nucleotides. RefSeq lists it as uncharacterized. The transcript is spliced from 2 exons. The record is from RefSeq and is a predicted model, not a curated record. NCBI's taxonomy places the organism in Eukaryota, Metazoa, Arthropoda, Insecta, Hemiptera, Cicadellidae.
AGCUUGGAGCAUUACAAAUGUUUGGUGUUAAUGUAUGAGAGUACUUCACAUGUAAACAAUAUUGAUGAAUUGUCUGCUUAUUUGGGGCCAAAUAAGAAGGAGGGAAAUUUUCUUGGAAAAGAAUCGGAAGCAAUAAAGAUACCGGAUAUCAUGACAGAAGAAUGCAGAAGGGUUGCUCAGCUAUUAACUUCGCCUUAUAAUCUUUAUUUAUUUCAAUUGUGUUGUAAGAAGUAUUUUUUAAACAGUAAAACUUUCUCCAAUUUAUAGACUA